GCCAGCAUGGCGUACUGGUUUGAGCAUUGGAUUAUGACUCUGGAGGCCAGGGUUCGAAUCCCGGCUUGGCC
Molecule: transfer RNA, 71 nt
Filed under: Phrynosoma platyrhinos (Desert horned lizard)
Lineage: Eukaryota; Metazoa; Chordata; Lepidosauria; Squamata; Phrynosomatidae
Description: tRNA-OTHER
Source: RNAcentral